GUUUAUUUAAUUUAAAUAAAAUAUUAGAUUGUGAUUCUAAAUAUAAAAG
RNAcentral lists this transfer RNA (49 nucleotides) under Ambystoma opacum (marbled salamander). RNAcentral describes it as "partial tRNA-His". The record is from RNAcentral. Lineage: Eukaryota; Metazoa; Chordata; Amphibia; Caudata; Ambystomatidae.